AAGUCGUAACAAGGUCUCCGUAGGUGAACCUGCGGAGGGAUCAUUACAAGAACGCCCGGGCUUCGGCCUGGUUAUUCAUAACCCUUUGUUGUCCGACUCUGUUGCCUCCGGGGCGACCCUGCCUUCGGGCGGGGGCUCCGGGUGGACACUUCAAACUCUUGCGUAACUUUGCAGUCUGAGUAAACUUAAUUAAUAAAUUAAAACUUUUAACAACGGAUCUCUUGGUUCUGGCAUCGAUGAAGAACGCAGCGAAAUGCGAUAAGUAAUGUGAAUUGCAGAAUUCAGUGAAUCAUCGAAUCUUUGAACGCACAUUGCGCCCCCUGGUAUUCCGGGGGGCAUGCCUGUUCGAGCGUCAUUUCACCACUCAAGCCUCGCUUGGUAUUGGGCAGCGCGGUCCGCCGCGUGCCUCAAAUCGUCCGGCUGGGUCUUCUGUCCCCUAAGCGUUGUGGAAACUAUUCGCUAAAGGGUGUUCGGGAGGCUACGCCGUAAAACAACCCCAUUUCUAAGGUUGACCUCGGAUCAGGUAGGGAUACCCGCUGAACUUAA
Molecule: ribosomal RNA, 546 nt
Filed under: uncultured fungus
Lineage: Eukaryota; Fungi
Description: eukaryotic LSU rRNA
Rfam family: 5.8S ribosomal RNA (bases 202-355)
Source: RNAcentral